UACGAAGGGGGCUAGCGUUGCUCGGAAUCACUGGGCGUAAAGCGCACGUAGGCGGAUUGCUAAGUCAGGGGUGAAAUCCUGGAGCUCAACUCCAGAACUGCGCUUGAUACUGGCGGUCUCGAGUCCGGGAGAGGUGAGUGGAACUGCGAGUGUAGAGGUGAAAUUCGUAGAUAUUCGCAAGAACACCAGUGGCGAAGGCGGCUCACUGGCCCGGUACUGACGCUGAGGUGCGAAAGCGUGGGGAGCAAACAGG
RNAcentral lists this ribosomal RNA (253 nucleotides) under uncultured bacterium. Its description in RNAcentral is "partial 16S ribosomal RNA". It matches the Rfam family "Bacterial small subunit ribosomal RNA", at positions 524 to 776 of the family's 1533-position model. The record is from RNAcentral.